CCUACGGGGUGCUGCAGUGGGGAAUAUUGGACAAUGGGCGAAAGCCUGAUCCAGCCAUGCCGCGUGUGUGAAGAAGGCCUUCGGGUUGUAAAGCACUUUCAGUGGGGAAGAAAGCCUUGGGGCUAAUACCCUCGAGGAAGGACAUCACCCACAGAAGAAGCACCGGCUAACUCCGUGCCAGCAGCCGCGGUAAUACGGAGGGUGCGAGCGGUAAUCGGAAUUACUGGGCGUAAAGCGCGCGUAGGCGGUCUGAUAAGCCGGUUGUGAAAGCCCCGGGCUCAACCUGGGAACGGCAUCCGGAACUGUCAGGCUAGAGUGCAGGAGAGGAAGGUAGAAUUCCCGGUGUAGCGGUGAAAUGCGUAGAGAUCGGGAGGAAUACCAGUGGCGAAGGCGGCCUUCUGGACUGACACUGACGCUGAGGUGCGAAAGCGUGGGUAGCAAACAGGAUUAGAUACCCCUGUAGUC
Molecule: ribosomal RNA, 465 nt
Filed under: Vreelandella stevensii
Lineage: Bacteria; Pseudomonadati; Pseudomonadota; Gammaproteobacteria; Oceanospirillales; Halomonadaceae
Description: partial 16S ribosomal RNA
Rfam family: Bacterial small subunit ribosomal RNA
Source: RNAcentral